CUACAGCCGCUCCGGGGAGACCUCUGCGUCUAAAUGAAACUGAUUAUGGAAACAAACUGAGCCUCAGCCUGUAGAGUGGCCCUAUGUUUUUCAUUAUAACUAAUCUCAGCUUGGCUUAUGGUGGACGCUAUUGUUAAGGUGAAUGCACCUGGUAUUCCAUCUGACAUAUAAAUGUUGGUUAAUGUUGGUGAUUAACAGCCCAGGAGUUUCUCUGCUGGUGUGACUGACUGCCAAACAGCACCAGCCCAUUGCAGUUUUUACAAUUUAAGGGGUGUUCCCCCCCCUAACAACCUAUCAGGAUUCCAGUCACAUCUCUGUGUGCAGCGAUGCAUUGAAUAGGCACCUAUACUCCCGGGCGGUGCCGAGGCUCAUGGAGGAUGCCGUGCAUUGAAGACACAAUAACAGGACCUUUGAUGCUCUCACCCGCACUCCUGGGACCACAGAAGAGGGCAGCGCUGCCUCUGUGAAGCCGAUGGUGGCGAUUGCUGUCCGGUUAAAUGUCACACCAAUAUUUCUUGCGUAAAAAGAUUGGAUUCCCCUGCAUCCCUUAGAGCCACUGGGGACUGAUGCAUCAUUUGGAGAAGCUCAUUACUCUUUCAUGGGCGCUUCUCGUCACUCAAGGACCCAAGUGCACACACACACACACACACACACACACACACACACACACACCCACACACACACACACCUUUUCCUAGUACAUGAGAGGGCUCUCACACAUAAGGUCACCAUUAAUUAAGCUUCUCACAGUUGUGGAGAUGAUGAUGGAUGGUUGAUAUUUCCUCAGAAAGCCCACUCCGUUGUGGACGCCCGGUAAAGGCUUUACUCCAUCAGUCAGCCAUGAAUCUAUUUCCUGCUGUCUGGUUGUGCCACUGGGCUCUAAACACAAUAGUGAGGAUGGCGUCUGAGUGGAUGUGGAGUUAAUGACAUUCUGUCACCACUGAUGUGGUGUAGACUCCACAAAGGAUUCAUCUUCCCCUUCAGACCUGAAAGUGACGGAGCAAAGACAGGGAGAACAGACAGUCUUUUUCUUCAAUUCGAACACUGUCCCAAGUUUUGUGUUUAGUUCCUCAUUAGUACCCUCCUCAUUUUUGCUACAUGUACAUGUGCUUGUUCUUUUUUGUCCUUAGUCACAAGCUCUUGCUUCAGGAAGUAUAAUGAGCACAUGCUACAGCUCUCAUUAUGUUAUUGGCGUGAGGAGCAAAAUACUACAAAACAGUUGCUUUGGCAUCCGUAAGACACCAUCAUAUUUCCAAAGUUCAGAAAACAUACAAUCUUCUACUCUUCAACAGGUGUGUCUAACUCCAAAAUUGUUUUGAAAAGCGUAUUUCAAACUGUUCACGUCAUAUUAAACAGCACUGUUGUGUUUACAUGCAACAAAUCAUCCUUAUUAUGGAGCCUCUUAUCAUUUUAUUGUUUCAUGUUCUUCAUGUGAAAUCUGACAGAGGGACUUUAAAAUGGUGAUUAAACCAAAGGCCAUAAAAUUACAAAGAAGACUCAUCUUUUCAAGUUGUUAAAAUUCUUUAACUCAAGUCUAUUUUACUUGGCAAUUCUGAGGUAAUUUGUUUCCUAAGUAAAAUCAACUUUUAAACGAACACUGUAAGGUGAAGUGAUCGUUUUACAUCUAUUUCUGUCAGAGGUCUUGAAAUA
This is a long non-coding RNA of Acanthopagrus latus (yellowfin seabream), 1650 nucleotides long. RefSeq lists it as uncharacterized. The record is from RefSeq and is a predicted model, not a curated record. Lineage: Eukaryota; Metazoa; Chordata; Actinopteri; Spariformes; Sparidae. The transcript is spliced from 2 exons.